Molecule: ribosomal RNA, 407 nt
Filed under: uncultured rape rhizosphere bacterium wr0033
Lineage: Bacteria
Description: bacterial SSU rRNA
Rfam family: Bacterial small subunit ribosomal RNA
Source: RNAcentral
GAACGAACGCUGGCGGCAGGCUUAACACAUGCAAGUCGAACGCGUGUAGCAAUACACGAGUGGCGCACGGGUGAGUAACGCGUGGAUAUCUGCCUUUUGGUUCGGAAUAACCCCGGGAAACUGGGGCUAAUACCGGAUGGUUCCUACGGGAUAAAGAUUUAUCGCCAAAAGAUGAGUCCGCGUACGAUUAGCUAGUUGGUGAGGUAAUGGCUCACCAAGGCGACGAUCGUUAGCUGGUCUGAGAGGACGAUCAGCCACACUGGGACUGAGACACGGCCCAGACUCCUACGGGAGGCAGCAGUGGGGAAUAUUGGACAAUGGGGGCAACCCUGAUCCAGCCAUGCCGCGUGAGUGAUGAAGGCCUCGGGUUGUAAAGCUCUUUUGGCGGGACGAUGAUGACGUACCCG